This 490-nucleotide ribosomal RNA is filed under the name uncultured bacterium. Its description in RNAcentral is "partial 16S ribosomal RNA". It matches the Rfam family "Bacterial small subunit ribosomal RNA", at positions 30 to 507 of the family's 1533-position model. The record is from RNAcentral.
AUUGAACGCUGGCGGCAGGCCUAACACAUGCAAGUCGAACGGUAACAGGAAGAAGCUUGCUUCUUUGCUGACGAGUGGCGGACGGGUGAGUAAUGUCUGGGAAACUGCCUGAUGGAGGGGGAUAACUACUGGAAACGGUAGCUAAUACCGCAUAACGUCGCAAGACCAAAGAGGGGGACCUUAGGGCCUCUUGCCAUCGGAUGUGCCCAGAUGGGAUUAGCUAGUAGGUGGGGUAACGGCUCACCUAGGCGACGAUCCCUAGCUGGUCUGAGAGGAUGACCAGCCACACUGGAACUGAGACACGGUCCAGACUCCUACGGGAGGCAGCAGUGGGGAAUAUUGCACAAUGGGCGCAAGCCUGAUGCAGCCAUGCCGCGUGGAUGAAGAAGGCCUUCGGGUUGUAAAGUACUUUCAGCGGGGAGGAAGGGAGUAAAGUUAAUACCUUUGCUCAUUGACGUUACCCGCAGAAGAAGCACCGGCUAACUCCGUG